Molecule: ribosomal RNA, 468 nt
Filed under: uncultured bacterium
Lineage: Bacteria
Description: partial 16S ribosomal RNA
Rfam family: Bacterial small subunit ribosomal RNA
Source: RNAcentral
GACGAACGCUGGCGGCGUGCUUAACACAUGCAAGUCGAACGGAAAGGCCCUGCUUUUGUUUGUUUCUCGUUUGGCGCACGGGUGAGUAACACGUGAGUAUCCUGCCCUUGACUUUGUGAUAACUUCACGAAACUGGGUCUAAUACCCGAUAUGAUCUUCUGCUGCAUGUUGGUCGUUGGAAAGUUUCGGCGGUUGUGUCUGGUUUCGCGGCUUAUGCGCUUGUUGGUCGGGUAGUGGCUUACCAAGGCUUUGACGGGUAGCCGGCCUGAGAGGGUUACCGGCCACAUUGGGACUGAGAGACGGAGCAGAAUCCUACGUGAGGCAGCAGGGGGGAAUAUGACACAAUGGGGGGAAGCCAGAUGCAGAAACGCCGCGAGCGGAAUGAUGGCCUACGGGUUGUAAACAGAUGUCGAAUGUGACGAAGAGUGAGUGACGGUAAUGGGUAAAGAAGCACCGGCUAACUACGUG